This 1818-nucleotide unclassified non-coding RNA is filed under the name Homarus americanus (American lobster). Its description in RNAcentral is "serine/threonine-protein phosphatase 6 regulatory ankyrin repeat subunit C-like, transcript variant X3". Lineage: Eukaryota; Metazoa; Arthropoda; Malacostraca; Decapoda; Nephropidae. The record is from RNAcentral.
UAUUAAAAAGAGUCGACUGCGUCAUCAGGUAGCAGCGUCAGUUGGUCUUUGGACACCAGACAGUUUAUAUGUGUGUACUGGAGUCGGCGUGAAUGAUGGCAACAUUAGCAAGUCGCCGCUGGGCUCUAGACUCACAGCUACUAGUCGCCAUCCAGAACAACGAUGUUAACAGGGCUCAGAAACUCUUCCAGGCGGGUGUUGAUACAGAUAUACGCUUCUCCAUAAACUCCAAGCAACGUCCGGCACUUUGUCUGUGUGUCGAAAAUAACGCUCCUGAUAUGGUUCAACUUUUGGUCAGUAUGGGCGUCAGUAUUAACCAAGGUGACUCUCUGGGACUCACCCCUUUGCACAUCACCUGUACCCAGGGAUACCCACACCUGGCCAGGCUACUAAUUAAUGCUCGGGCCAACGUGAAUGCAAGAACACAACAAGGGCACACUCCUCUCCACUUCGCUGCCAUGAGGGGAAACCAAGCUCUGGUGGAGAUGUUGUUAUUACAUAAAGCUGCUGUAGACAUUAUUGAUAGUGAUGGCUGCACCCCAUUACACCGUGCAGCACAGUCACGAAAUUCAGAACUCGUUGAAAUUCUCCUGAACGCCCGUGCUAGUCCCGAAUACGUCGACAAUCAGGGCAACACAGUGCUACACCAUGCUGUUAAUGUUAAUGGUGUUAAACCAUCUACAGUCAGAAUACUGGCACUGGCCCACCCUCCAGCAGUUUCUGCCACUAACUCUUGUUCGGAAACGCCAUUACAUGUAGCAGUACGUAGUGGGAGACAAGAUUCUGAGAGUGUCUUAGCUGCAGUGGUGGAGAUUGGGUCGAGGACAGCUCUAAAUUCCAAGGGGUCUCUAGGCCACACGGCUCUACAUGUAGCUAUACUGGAUCACCGUAUCAACCUGCUACGUCUGUUACUUACUGCUGGGGCUGACACCAACACAGAAGACCAUUUAGGUCACACGCCAUUGGUGUCAGCGGCCAGAGACGCCUCCUGGGGUGCAGUAGCGUUGCUUUUAGCUGCUGGGGCUCGAACCAAGAGACUGAUCCAAGGCGGCGACAUUGAAACUGAAAUCCGUGACUCAGGUAUUCGUGCACUGCUUAAAGAAGCUACACGACAGCCCCCGCAUCUCUCAAGUCUGUGCCGCCGAGCUCUGACAGACCAUUUGGGGCCUCAGGCACUGACUGUUCUCUCCAAGGCAACCCUCCCUGCUCAUUGGCUAGUGAGAUGGUAACACAAUGAUUCCUUGUUCUAUUUUACCUGAGAGAAGGCUGACUACACAACACCAUAGAUCUGACAUUCCAUGAAGGGCAGUGCAGAUACAGCAGCACAAGGAGGCAUUGUACAUGGCCAUCUUCACUUCCCCAGCUAUAAAAAUAGUGCAGUGGAGGGAGCUGACAGACUUAGCCCCCAUCCCCUUUCUAUGACCGCUGAGGAUGCAUCAACUGGUGGGCCAGAGACAUACAGGCUACAGCUGCUAGCUAGAUACACGCUGAUCUCAACAAUGCCUCAUUGCCUGUUGUAAUAAUUCCCAGAGCAGCAACAACAUAUGUAUGCUGCUUCAUACGCUUUUUAUUGUAUUAAUUUGUAAAGAAUAAGAAAAGAUGAAGAUUAAGAACAUUAUUAUUAAUUAAAAUCAUAAUUGUAGAGCAGCGUUUCACCACGAUCACCUGUGACCUGCAUUAAGUUACCGUAAUCUGUCUGAAAGAUGAACUCCAUCCAACAUUGCUUGUCAAAUAAUCUUUGACCUUUUGUACAACAUUGGUUUAUUAAAUUAUAUAAAUAUAUAUGCUGAUAACCACAAGGAAAGAAGAAAACACAAA